UACAGAGGAGCCAAGCGUUGUCCGGAUUUACUGGGCGUAAAGGGUGCGCAGGCGGCUCCGCAUGUCGGGCGUGAAAUCCCCGGGCUUAACCUGGGAAUUGCGUCCGAAACUAUGGAGCUGGAGUGUGGCAGAGGGAGGUGGAAUUCCACGUGUAGCGGUGAAAUGCGUAGAGAUGUGGAGGAACACCGAUGGCGAAGGCAGCCUCCUGGGCCAACACUGACGCUCAUGCACGAAAGCGUGGGGAGCAAACAGG
This 253-nucleotide ribosomal RNA is filed under the name uncultured bacterium. RNAcentral's name for it is "partial 16S ribosomal RNA". It matches the Rfam family "Bacterial small subunit ribosomal RNA", at positions 524 to 776 of the family's 1533-position model. The record is from RNAcentral.